RNAcentral lists this long non-coding RNA (900 nucleotides) under Sus scrofa (pig). RNAcentral's name for it is "lncRNA (ENSSSCG00070029173.1)". The record is from RNAcentral. Lineage: Eukaryota; Metazoa; Chordata; Mammalia; Artiodactyla; Suidae.
CGCUGCGGGCGGGGGGGGUGCUGGGCCCCGCCGGCUGCCGCACCCCACUUCCCGCCUUCGCCCCGGGGACCCGGGCCCGCGCCCCGGCGGGCCCUGCGCGCCGUUCUCUGGAACGGGACGGAGGAAGACGUGGCCUGCUGCUAAAUAUCUUAACAACUAACUGCGGGGAGAAAAGAUUCCUGAUAGCUUUUGCCAGUACCUGUGGUGUAAAUAUCCCCGCGGUGGCGGCGAUCAAGUUGCCCAGGGAGCAUCACUGGACCCCGAAUGGGAGGAGAGACAGGCCGUUCUGCCGCCUGCACGCUGGGAGAACCUGCUCCGGCGACCCCUGGAGGCGACUCAGCAGGCCUCUGUGUACUUGCUCUCUCCACGACCAGCCACCUGAGUCCUUGGUCCUGAGCCACCAUCGUUCAUUCCCCUUCGCCACUGCUUCCUGAUGGUCCCAAGCUCUGACUUGACUCGGUUUCCUGAUGACAGCCUUGCCAGCCUCAGUGUGUGUAACAGCUUCUGCCUGAGCUUUUGCUGAACUAGCCCGGGACCCAGACAAAGGGCGGCUCUGCUGGAGAACACACAGGACAUGGGAAGCGCCUAUUUAUACUCAAUUCUAAGGAUGUGGACGCAAUGCAAAGGGUACAAGUUAUGUUUGAGGGACUCCAGGGUCUAAGACAUGGUAAAAAGUCUAAAACUGGCUUCCCGGAGGCUGGAGGGAAAGAGGGCUAUGGUGCCAACACCAGAUCUCCAACAAAGCCGGGGUCCUGGUAGGAAAGAGGAGAGCUGCACAGAUGCACACGGCCAGGGUCAGCCUUAGAGGCACAGGCAGAGGCGCCUAGGAGCCGAGGUACUCCGUGCUUUUGUACACCGGGAACAGAAGACCUCAAACUCAGAGCCAUAUCACUAGAUAAG